This 496-nucleotide ribosomal RNA is filed under the name uncultured bacterium. RNAcentral describes it as "partial 16S ribosomal RNA". It matches the Rfam family "Bacterial small subunit ribosomal RNA", at positions 28 to 506 of the family's 1533-position model. The record is from RNAcentral.
GAUGAACGCUGGCGGCGUGCCUAAUACAUGCAAGUCGAGCGAACAGAUGAGGAGCUUGCUCCUCUGACGUUAGCGGCGGACGGGUGAGUAACACGUGGAUAACCUACCUAUAAGACUGGGAUAACUUCGGGAAACCGGAGCUAAUACCGGAUAAUAUAUUGAACCGCAUGGUUCAAUAGUGAAAGACGGUUUUGCUGUCACUUAUAGAUGGACCCGCGCCGCAUUAGCUAGUUGGUAAGGUAACGGCUUACCAAGGCAACGAUGCGUAGCCGACCUGAGAGGGUGAUCGGCCACACUGGAACUGAGACACGGUCCAGACUCCUACGGGAGGCAGCAGUAGGGAAUCUUCCGCAAUGGGCGAAAGCCUGACGGAGCAACGCCGCGUGAGUGAUGAAGGUCUUCGGAUCGUAAAACUCUGUUAUUAGGGAAGAACAAAUGUGUAAGUAACUAUGCACGUCUUGACGGUACCUAAUCAGAAAGCCACGGCUAACUACGU